This 1101-nucleotide ribosomal RNA is filed under the name Salmonella enterica. RNAcentral's name for it is "partial 23S ribosomal RNA". It matches the Rfam family "Bacterial large subunit ribosomal RNA", at positions 711 to 1728 of the family's 2925-position model. The record is from RNAcentral. Lineage: Bacteria; Pseudomonadati; Pseudomonadota; Gammaproteobacteria; Enterobacterales; Enterobacteriaceae.
AGACCCGAAACCCGGUGAUCUAGCCAUGGGCAGGUUGAAGGUUGGGUAACACUAACUGGAGGACCGAACCGACUAAUGUUGAAAAAUUAGCGGAUGACCUGUGGCUGGGGGUGAAAGGCCAAUCAAACCGGGAGAUAGCUGGUUCUCCCCGAAAGCUAUUUAGGUAGCGCCUCGUGAAUUCAUCUCCGGGGGUAGAGCACUGUUUCGGCUAGGGGGCCAUCCCGGCUUACCAACCCGAUGCAAACUGCGAAUACCGGAGAAUGUUAUCACGGGAGACACACGGCGGGUGCUAACGUCCGUCGUGAAGAGGGAAACAACCCAGACCGCCAGCUAAGGUCCCAAAGUCAUGGUUAAGUGGGAAACGAUGUGGGAAGGCCCAGACAGCCAGGAUGUUGGCUUAGAAGCAGCCAUCAUUUAAAGAAAGCGUAAUAGCUCACUGGUCGAGUCGGCCUGCGCGGAAGAUGUAACGGGGCUAAACCAUGCACCGAAGCUGCGGCAGCGAACGUAUCACUUAAAGCGAUUCAGCGGGUUACGAUUGACGGAGCGAAGCGACGUCAAAGCGUAUACAAAGUCGAGUCGGUUUAAGGAUACGUUCGUUGGGUAGGGGAGCGUUCUGUAAGCCUGUGAAGGUGGCCUGUGAGGGUUGCUGGAGGUAUCAGAAGUGCGAAUGCUGACAUAAGUAACGAUAAAGCGGGUGAAAAGCCCGCUCGCCGGAAGACCAAGGGUUCCUGUCCAACGUUAAUCGGGGCAGGGUGAGUCGACCCCUAAGGCGAGGCCGAAAGGCGUAGUCGAUGGGAAACGGGUUAAUAUUCCCGUACUUGGUGUUACUGCGAAGGGGGGACGGAGAAGGCUAUGUUGGCCGGGCGACGGUUGUCCCGGUUUAAGCGUGUAGGUGUGUGUUCCAGGUAAAUCCGGUUCACUUUAACACUGAGGCGUGACGACGAGGCACUACGGUGCUGAAGCAACAAAUGCCCUGCUUCCAGGAAAAGCCUCUAAGCAUCAGGUAACAUCAAAUCGUACCCCAAACCGACACAGGUGGUCAGGUAGAGAAUACCAAGGCGCUUGAGAGAACUCGGGUGAAGGAACUAGGCAAAAUGGUGC